GAGAGAGAGAGAGAGAGAGAGAGAGAGUGUGUGAGAGAGAGAGAAAGAGAGUGUGUGUGUGAGAGAGAGAGAAAGAGAGAAAGAGAGUGUGUGUGAGAGAGAUAAGAGGAGGAGGAAGGGUCGGUUAGGGUUUUCCAGUAAAUAGUACUUUCACGUUCAACGGUCACUGGAGAAGAAACCACGUAUGCCGCUCGCCUAACAGAAUACAGUGUCCUUCACUGAGGGACGCUCAGGGAUUAUUACGGGGAAUGGAGAUUGUAAUACUUGUUUCAUUAUUGUCUCUGUAUUGUGACUUCACCGGUAAGUUAGACUUCUGAUCUAGUACAUCGUUGUGAUACAGGUGCUUGGUAAAUUAGACUUCUGGUCUAGUACAUCGUUGUGAUACAGGUGCUUGGUAAGUUAGACUUCUGUUCUAGUACAAUGUUGUGAUACAGGUGCUUGGUAAGUUAGACUUCUGUUCUAGUACAAUGUUGUGAUACAGGUGCUUGGUAAAUUAGACUUCUGGUCUAGUACAAUGUUGUGAUACAGGUGCUUGGUAAAUUCCAUUCUACUGAGGUAAAAUAUGGAAUUGUUCUAAGAUGGUCGUACCAUUGAUCAUUUACCUAUUUGAUUUUAGGAUUAUUGUAAGUACCCCCCCCCCCC
This is a non-coding RNA of Oncorhynchus mykiss (rainbow trout), 642 nucleotides long. The record is from RefSeq and is a predicted model, not a curated record. NCBI's taxonomy places the organism in Eukaryota, Metazoa, Chordata, Actinopteri, Salmoniformes, Salmonidae.